This 423-nucleotide ribosomal RNA is filed under the name Pedipes pedipes. RNAcentral describes it as "partial 16S ribosomal RNA". It matches the Rfam family "Bacterial large subunit ribosomal RNA", at positions 1907 to 2608 of the family's 2925-position model. Lineage: Eukaryota; Metazoa; Mollusca; Gastropoda; Ellobiida; Ellobiidae. The record is from RNAcentral.
AAUCAUUAAAAUUUUCAACGGCCGCAGUACCUUGACUGUGCAAAGGUAGCGUAAUCAGUUGGCUUUUAAAUGGGGUCUAGAAUGAGUGGGUUAUUGGGGGUAAGCUGUCUCUAUUUGUGUUGUUUAUAACUUCUUCAUGGGGUGAAAAUACCCCUAGAAUAUAGAAGGACGAGAAGACCCUAGGAGCCUAAAAUAAAAAAGCUUUUUAACUUUUAUUUUUUUGUUGGGGCGACAAAGGGUCAAAGUACAAACACCCUAAAGUUGAAAUUUAAUGAGACGGUGUUUAAAAGACUAAGAAGGUUACCCUAGGGAUAACAGCUUAAUAAUUUUUUUGUUUGAGACCUCGAUGUUGGACUAGGGACCAAAAGACAAGCAGUCUGUCUGGCAAGUUCUGUUCGAACUACUUAACCCUACGUGAUCUGA